GAUGAACGCUAGCGACAGGCUUAACACAUGCAAGUCGAGGGGCAGCAGGGGAGUAGCAAUACUCCCGCUGGCGACCGGCGCACGGGUGAGUAACACGUAUGCAACCUGCCCUUGUCAGGGGGAUAAGCGGAAGAAAUUCCGUCUAAUACCGCAUAAUGCUGCGGGGAGACAUCUCCCUGCAGCCAAAGAUUUAUCGGACAAGGAUGGGCAUGCGGCGCAUUAGCUUGUUGGCGGGGUAACGGCCCACCAAGGCGACGAUGCGUAGGGGUUCUGAGAGGAAGGUCCCCCACACUGGUACUGAGACACGGACCAGACUCCUACGGGAGGCAGCGGUGAGGAAUAUUGGUCAAUGGCCGGGAGGCUGAACCAGCCAAGUCGCGUGAGGGAAGACGGUCCUAUGGAUUGUAAACCUCUUUUGUCAGGGAGCAAAAACUGCCACGUGUGGCAGGAUGAGAGUACCUGAAGAAAAAGCAUCGGCUAACUCCGUGCCAGCAGCCGCGGUAAUACGGAGGAUGCGAGCGUUAUCCGGAUUUAUUGGGUUUAAAGGGUGCGUAGGCGGACAGUUAAGUCAGCGGUAAAAUUGAGAGGCUCAACCUCUUCCCGCCGUUGAAACUGAUUGUCUUGAGUGGGCGAGAAGUAUGCGGAAUGCGUGGUGUAGCGGUGAAAUGCAUAGAUAUCACGCAGAACUCCGAUUGCGAAGGCAGCAUACCGGCGCCCAACUGACGCUGAAGCACGAAAGCGUGGGUAUCGAACAGGAUUAGAUACCCUGGUAGUCCACGCAGUAAACGAUGAAUACUAAUUGUUCGGGUCAAAUGAGAUCUGAGUGAUACAGCGAAAGCGUUAAGUAUUCCACCUGGGGAGUACGCCGGCAACGGUGAAACUCAAAGGAAUUGACGGGGGCCCGCACAAGCGGAGGAGCAUGUGGUUUAAUUCGAUGAUACGCGAGGAACCUUACCCGGGCUCAAACGACACAGGAAUGAUCUGAGAAAUCAGGCAGUCCUCCGGGACCUGUGUCGAGGUGCUGCAUGGUUGUCGUCAGCUCGUGCCGUGAGGUGUCGGCUUAAGUGCCAUAACGAGCGCAACCCCCAUCGACAGUUGCCAGCAGGUCAAGCUGGGCACUCUGUCGAGACUGCCGGCGCAAGCUGUGAGGAAGGCGGGGAUGACGUCAAAUCAGCACGGCCCUUACGUCCGGGGCGACACACGUGUUACAAUGGCAGGUACAGCGGGAAGCCACCUGGCGACAGGGAGCGGAACCCGAAAGCCUGUCUCAGUUCGGAUUGGAGUCUGCAACUCGACUCCAUGAAGCUGGAUUCGCUAGUAAUCGCGCAUCAGCCACGGCGCGGUGAAUACGUUCCCGGGCCU
Molecule: ribosomal RNA, 1362 nt
Filed under: uncultured bacterium
Lineage: Bacteria
Description: 16S ribosomal RNA
Rfam family: Bacterial small subunit ribosomal RNA
Source: RNAcentral